This is a non-coding RNA of Thunnus maccoyii (southern bluefin tuna), 375 nucleotides long. Lineage: Eukaryota; Metazoa; Chordata; Actinopteri; Scombriformes; Scombridae. The record is from the annotation of a RefSeq genome assembly.
ACACAGUUUAACAUGAUGGACUAUAGGACAGGACUGCUGCUUUUAACCAUCUACUGGGCAGGUGUUGAUGGUCAGACUCUGACAGAAUCUGAAUCAGCAGUUAAAAAACCUGGAGAAUCCCACAAACUGACCUGUACAGCCUCUGGGCUUGACUUUGAUAGCUCUUGGAUGGCCUGGAUCAGACAGGCUCCUGGAAAAGGACUGGAGUGGAUUGCAAUCAUCGAAUAUGACAGUGACUCAAUCUACUACUCUCAGUCAGUUCAAGGCCGGUUCACCAUCUCCAGAGACAACAGCAGAGAGCAGCUGUAUCUGCAGAUGAACAGCGUGAAGACUGAAGAUUCUGCUGUUUAUUAUUGUGCUCGAUGGCCACAGUGA